This 62-nucleotide transfer RNA is filed under the name Priodontes maximus. RNAcentral's name for it is "tRNA-Ser". Lineage: Eukaryota; Metazoa; Chordata; Mammalia; Cingulata; Chlamyphoridae. The record is from RNAcentral.
AAGAAAGUACUGCAGGAACUGCUAACUCCUGCCUACCACGCAUAACAAGCAUGGCUUUCUUA